GAACAAUAAAAAUUGAAAAUUAUUUAGCCGACAAGUCGACAGCGGCAUCGGCAUCGGCAUCGCUGUUCUGAAAAUCUCCAGUGUUUACAUUGCGAAAACAAUUGAGAUCAUAACAAUAAAAUCAAAUUCGAAAUUUGUGGGAUUGCGGGAGCGGGUG
Drosophila willistoni is the source of this 157-nucleotide long non-coding RNA. It matches the Rfam family "Bithoraxoid conserved region 3". Rfam says of the family: Bithoraxoid (bxd) is a long non-coding RNA found in Drosophila. It silences the expression of the Ultrabithorax (Ubx) gene by transcriptional interference. The record is from Rfam. NCBI's taxonomy places the organism in Eukaryota, Metazoa, Arthropoda, Insecta, Diptera, Drosophilidae.